AUGAAGGCUUUGAAGGAAGAGCAAUGCCAGCGAGAGGUUCCUGUUGACGACGAUGACGACUUUGGUGCACUCGCUUGCCUUCCCCUCUACGACCUUGAAAGUGAAACCACGACUUUCGAUCCCUCCAACUUGUUCGACGACGUCAAACUUGAUGAUCGCAACUUGGCAAUUCUCCAGAAGCCCAAGAAACCACCAUGUUACGGCAAUUUCGGCAAGGGCAAGGAUUUGGAGACCCUCCGCUUGAUGCUAAGCGCACCACCUCCACCUUCUUGUCAACAAAACCCUACGGGGCCAACAAAAUCUGAUGCUCAUCAUCAACGGCAAGACUGGGAUGACGAAGAGAAGUUGGAGAAUAGCAAGCGAAAGCUUCACCAAGGCUAUCAAGAGUUCCAAAACAAGAGAAAGAAAAUUCAACUUCUUGACGUCAAGAACUUGCCUUUGCCGUCUAAGUCUCCGCGAGGCCAGGUUUUGAGCGAGAACAAGCCGUUGAUCAGUUCGAGGAAGUGCCCAGAGCCUUCUGAUUUUUCGGAGAGCCAACAAAACCCUAAGGGGCUCACAAAAUCUACUGAUCAUGAUGUUCAUCAUCGGCAAGAUUGGGAUGAUGAAGAGAAGUUGGAGACUAGUGUUCAAAAGCUUCGCCAAGGCUAUCAAGAGUUCCAAAACAAGCGAAAGAAAAUUCAAGUUCUCGACAUCAAGAGCUUGCCUUUGCCGUCUAAACCCGGACGAGGUCGGGUUUCGACAAAGAACAAGUUUCUGACCAGCUCCAGGAAGUGCCGAGCCUUCUGA
This 786-nucleotide long non-coding RNA is filed under the name Prunus dulcis (almond). Its description in RNAcentral is "sRNA ncRNA". Lineage: Eukaryota; Viridiplantae; Streptophyta; Magnoliopsida; Rosales; Rosaceae. The record is from RNAcentral.